Molecule: ribosomal RNA, 482 nt
Filed under: uncultured bacterium
Lineage: Bacteria
Description: partial 16S ribosomal RNA
Rfam family: Bacterial small subunit ribosomal RNA
Source: RNAcentral
AUUGAACGCUGGCGGCAUGCUUUACACAUGCAAGUCGAACGGUAACAGGCCGCAAGGUGCUGACGAGUGGCGAACGGGUGAGUAAUGCAUCGGAACGUGCCCAGUCGUGGGGGAUAACUACUCGAAAGAGUAGCUAAUACCGCAUACGAUCUAUGGAUGACAGCGGGGGACCGUAGGGCCUCGCGCGAUUGGAGCGGCCGAUGUCAGAUUAGGUAGUUGGUGGGGUAAAGGCUCACCAAGCCAACGAUCUGUAGCUGGUCUGAGAGGACGACCAGCCACACUGGGACUGAGACACGGCCCAGACUCCUACGGGAGGCAGCAGUGGGGAAUUUUGGACAAUGGGCGCAAGCCUGAUCCAGCAAUGCCGCGUGCAGGAAGAAGGCCUUCGGGUUGUAAACUGCUUUUGUACGGAACGAAACGGCUCUGGUUAAUACCCGGGGCUAAUGACGGUACCGUAAGAAUAAGCACCGGCUAACUACGUG